CUGCUCUGUCCAAAUGACGCGGCCGCUCCCGCGCCACACCGCCCGCCCGCCGCGCCCGCGGCUUUCCGACCCCCCGUCGCUCACCCCACCGCUGCACUACUCCACCACGAGACCGCGCCGCCGCUCCCCUUCGAUCCGCCCGCCGCCGCCGCCUUCUGGAUCGCCGAGCCAAAGACCAGUACGAGAAGGUGGAGAAGAUCGGGGAAGGGACGUACGGGGUGGUGUACAAGGCCAAGGACCGCUACAACAACGAGACCAUCACGCUCAACAAGAUCCGCCUCGAGUAGGAGGACGUGGGCCGUUAGGUCCGUUAGGGUUAUUAGUCCAUAGUGGUAUUUCGGAGUGCAAAAUUGAGUUACAGUGGCAUUUUGGAUAGCAUGGCUUUUUGAGUGGUAUUUUGGAAUCAUAGAUUUCACA
Molecule: long non-coding RNA, 417 nt
Organism: Brachypodium distachyon (stiff brome)
Lineage: Eukaryota; Viridiplantae; Streptophyta; Magnoliopsida; Poales; Poaceae
Exons: 2
Source: RefSeq, a predicted model, not a curated record